GUUGACCCUAGAAACUACAAAGCCUACGUGGCGCGCAGGCCGAGUAAUUAAUAAGCUAACUACGUCCUUCGGUGAAUGCGGGGCGUGCCAACUCAUCGGCCGAGCUCGGCCGAGGAGUAAAUUUGUUGAUGUUGCGUUGGGUGCGCGGCUGACUUCUGCGUCUUGCGAUUGCGGCCGAGAAAGGAACACGUCUCGGCCUCUUGGGCUCUCGAACCUGAAGACAAGGUUACUAUUCUUACGAAGUUCAAUAUCAAAUUCGGCUUUCAAUGUGCCGAACGUAAUAACGUGUAACACCUCACUUCGCCGAGAAGGCUGAUGAGAUGACCUCGACC
This 332-nucleotide long non-coding RNA is filed under the name Malus domestica (apple). Its description in RNAcentral is "long non-coding RNA (MDOM_LNC014857)". The record is from RNAcentral. Lineage: Eukaryota; Viridiplantae; Streptophyta; Magnoliopsida; Rosales; Rosaceae.